This 1658-nucleotide ribosomal RNA is filed under the name Salmonella enterica. RNAcentral's name for it is "partial 23S ribosomal RNA". It matches the Rfam family "Bacterial large subunit ribosomal RNA", at positions 579 to 2141 of the family's 2925-position model. Lineage: Bacteria; Pseudomonadati; Pseudomonadota; Gammaproteobacteria; Enterobacterales; Enterobacteriaceae. The record is from RNAcentral.
GGCUUAGUGGUGGGGUGACUGCGUACCUUUUGUAUAAUGGGUCAGCGACUUAUAUUCUGUAGCAAGGUUAACCGUAUAGGGGAGCCGGAGGGAAACCGAGUCUUAAUUGGGCGUUAAGUUGCAGGGUAUAGACCCGAAACCCGGUGAUCUAGCCAUGGGCAGGUUGAAGGUUGGGUAACACUAACUGGAGGACCGAACCGACUAAUGUUGAAAAAUUAGCGGAUGACCUGUGGCUGGGGGUGAAAGGCCAAUCAAACCGGGAGAUAGCUGGUUCUCCCCGAAAGCUAUUUAGGUAGCGCCUCGUGAAUUCAUCUCCGGGGGUAGAGCACUGUUUCGGCUAGGGGGCCAUCCCGGCUUACCAACCCGAUGCAAACUGCGAAUACCGGAGAAUGUUAUCACGGGAGACACACGGCGGGUGCUAACGUCCGUCGUGAAGAGGGAAACAACCCAGACCGCCAGCUAAGGUCCCAAAGUCAUGGUUAAGUGGGAAACGAUGUGGGAAGGCCCAGACAGCCAGGAUGUUGGCUUAGAAGCAGCCAUCAUUUAAAGAAAGCGUAAUAGCUCACUGGUCGAGUCGGCCUGCGCGGAAGAUGUAACGGGGCUAAACCAUGCACCGAAGCUGCGGCAGCGAACGUAUCACUUAAAGCGAUUCAGCGGGUUACGAUUGACGGAGCGAAGCGACGUCAAAGCGUAUACAAAGUCGAGUCGGUUUAAGGAUACGUUCGUUGGGUAGGGGAGCGUUCUGUAAGCCUGCGAAGGUGGCCUGUGAGGGUUGCUGGAGGUAUCAGAAGUGCGAAUGCUGACAUAAGUAACGAUAAAGCGGGUGAAAAGCCCGCUCGCCGGAAGACCAAGGGUUCCUGUCCAACGUUAAUCGGGGCAGGGUGAGUCGACCCCUAAGGCGAGGCCGAAAGGCGUAGUCGAUGGGAAACGGGUUAAUAUUCCCGUACUUGGUGUUACUGCGAAGGGGGGACGGAGAAGGCUAUGUUGGCCGGGCGACGGUUGUCCCGGUUUAAGCGUGUAGGCUGGUUUUCCAGGCAAAUCCGGAAAAUCAAGGCUGAGGCGUGACGACGAGGCACUACGGUGCUGAAGCAACAAAUGCCCUGCUUCCAGGAAAAGCCUCUAAGCAUCAGGUAACACGAAAUCGUACCCCAAACCGACACAGGUGGUCAGGUAGAGAAUACCAAGGCGCUUGAGAGAACUCGGGUGAAGGAACUAGGCAAAAUGGUGCCGUAACUUCGGGAGAAGGCACGCUGACACGUAGGUGAAGUGAUUUACUCAUGGAGCUGAAGUCAGUCGAAGAUACCAGCUGGCUGCAACUGUUUAUUAAAAACACAGCACUGUGCAAACACGAAAGUGGACGUAUACGGUGUGACGCCUGCCCGGUGCCGGAAGGUUAAUUGAUGGGGUCAGCGCAAGCGAAGCUCCUGAUCGAAGCCCCGGUAAACGGCGGCCGUAACUAUAACGGUCCUAAGGUAGCGAAAUUCCUUGUCGGGUAAGUUCCGACCUGCACGAAUGGCGUAAUGAUGGCCAGGCUGUCUCCACCCGAGACUCAGUGAAAUUGAACUCGCUGUGAAGAUGCAGUGUACCCGCGGCAAGACGGAAAGACCCCGUGAACCUUUACUAUAGCUUGACACUGAACAUUGAGCCUUGAUGUGUAG